CGUCGACUACGCGUUGGAAUUACACAAGACGCAUAGGCUGCGCUAGUUACCAAGCCUUUCUAACGCAUCUUCUCUAGCCGCGUCGUGAAUCGUAAACUCUUUAAUGUAGCACACUCGUGCAUGCGCCUGUCCUCUUGUUUGCAGGUAUUAAGUGGCCUAGUGGCAGUUAUGGUCUCCCCAAACCUAAAUCAGGAUGUCCAAGUGGUAAGAACAAUGACUGGGUUGAAGGCUGGAGAUUUCAGGAUAUGGAAGAUGACGCCGAUAAGAGCACAAGUGAGCGAUCAAAAGUAUCCAGUGGGUCGCAUAUGGACGUGACAUUAGUUGGUAAUAAAAAAGAUGUGAACAGAACAUUCUGUAUGAAGCAAAACACUAGAACACAAACGAAGUAUUGGCCAAAAGGUAAGUUUCUUCAGUUUAACUGUAAGUGUAUACAUCUGCUGAUUACACCUAAUUAUUAAUACAUGUCGGUCUAGAAGUUGCGUGUUCGCCAAGUAUGACGUACCAAUUAACAUUUACAUAACUGCAUGUCGCGGGUCGCGUAUCUCGGGUAAAAAGUCGUCGGUUGGAACAGUCUUAAAAAUUUAUUUAAUAUAUAUUAUUAUUUUUUAUUUGUGCA
This is a non-coding RNA of Paramuricea clavata, 616 nucleotides long. NCBI's taxonomy places the organism in Eukaryota, Metazoa, Cnidaria, Anthozoa, Malacalcyonacea, Plexauridae. The record is from the annotation of a GenBank genome assembly.